This 254-nucleotide ribosomal RNA is filed under the name uncultured bacterium. RNAcentral's name for it is "partial 16S ribosomal RNA". It matches the Rfam family "Bacterial small subunit ribosomal RNA", at positions 524 to 776 of the family's 1533-position model. The record is from RNAcentral.
UACGUAGGGGGCGAGCGUUGUCCGGAUUUAUUGGGCGUAAAGAGCUCGUAGGCGGUUUGGUAAGUUGGAUGUGAAAUCUCCAGGCUCAACUUGGAGGGGUCAUUCGAUACUGCCAUGACUAGAGUUCGGUAGGGGAGUGUGGAAUUCCUGGUGGAGCGGUGAAAUGCGCAGAUAUCUGGAGGAACACCGGUGGCGAAGGCGGCAUCCUGGACCAUUACUGACGCUGAGGGGCGAAAGGUAGGGGAGCAAACGGG